Molecule: transfer RNA, 70 nt
Filed under: Hoplistodera incisa
Lineage: Eukaryota; Metazoa; Arthropoda; Insecta; Hemiptera; Pentatomidae
Description: tRNA-His
Source: RNAcentral
AUUUAUGAUAGUUUAAAAAUUUUAGAAUAAUAAUUUGUGGUAUUAUUGGUGAAUAAUAUUUCUCUAAAUC